GAACACUCCUCCGCCCUUUCAGUGGGAGGAGCCUCGGCAACAGAUGCUUUAAACCAUGUUGGUGGCAGUUACAUCCACUUUUAUUAAAAGUCUUUGCAGAGUAAUGCCAGUGACUUGUGCAGCAAAUAUAUUGACAGCUAUUAAAUUUCACACUGAUGCUGCAUGAUUUCUCAGGAAAAUAUGUGGCCUUGAGUAAAAGAGUAACUUGUUGUUUCAAUGUAACACUAAAGUAGGCCAUAAUAAACCUGGACUGUCAUUGUAACUCUGUUUAACUGAAUGCUGCAGGACUAGUUUUGUUGUAAAAUGUUGAUACAAAUUACAACUGCAAUUACAAUUACGAUUAUCCAAACAAUCACAUCACUGCAAUGCAGAUAUACAUCUACAGCUGAUGGAACAAAUUGUGUGAUUGUGUGCUCUUAAAGUCUUUCUAUGUCUGUAUUUUUGUUUUUUCUCUUCUCUUAAAUUUAAUGUCCCAGACAACUGAAUUCAGAUAAAGUAACUUUUCAUUUGCUCCUCUUUUUUUUUCUUUUUUUUUUUAACAAUAUCAAAUGAAAAUGAUACUUCAGCAGCAGUUUGUGUAAGCAAAAUAGACUCUAAGAUGUGAUUUUAUUUUAUAUAGUCUAUCUAAAGGCAUACUUAUACUGCAGUUUUUUGUUUGUUUGUUUUAAUUCAGGCACGUCAAUCCAACAAUCAUGUUUCAUUCAUGAGGCAUCUGUGCAACUCUCACUUAAUGGAAAAAAAAACAAAAACAUGUAUCCUCUGUUUUGAUAAAUGAAUAAUUCAAUUUAGUUAAUCCACCUCAAUAGAAAUACCUCAUACAUUGUGCAGAUACACUCAGUAUACUACCUGACACUAGGGGCUGAGGGGAAAUUAUAUUGUAAUGAUUAUAUUAAAGUUAAAGCCUAUAUGGUAAAUAGAAUUAUGCACCAGCAAUGUGUCAGAUUGUUACCAAAAGGAUACUGAAAAUUAAUUUGAGUAAACAACUUUUCGUUGGAAUAACAUGGUACAUUUAUUUCCCACGUCUAUCUGUACUCAUCAAAUAUUCUGAUCUUAACAUUAAGCAGGGAACAUCAACAAAAUCAUGUUAUAAAACUUUAUGGGCGUCGACUUCUGCCACUCGUGUGUUGACGCUGCCUUCAGUAGUGGCCUAUCUGUUUCCUUCUUCUUGAGGGUGUUUUUUUUAAGUGUUGUUUAUGUGUAUGUGUAUGUGGGUUUUGUUUUGUUUUUUUGUUUUUUUCCCAAACGAUAUAUUUUUAAGUCGGUAGUUUUACGUAUUUCGCCGCCGUCCGCGUGUUUACCAACAGCCCUGGGAAAUCAAGUGGUGAAACUUGAGAGUCGCACUUGGAGAGGAAGUAGUUGAUUUAUGCUAAUGAAGGAGUUGGGGUUUAGCUACGCUGGCUGGGAGCCGCCCUUCAUUCACCACAUGGUUAAACCUCGAGUGUACUCGCGCCACUUUCGCAAUCUUACUACGAUUCCCAAACUCCUGGCAAAUCAUAAUAGUAGCACAUGGUUGUGCUUUUUGGGGAUUAUACGUCUUAGCUGCUACUCUUUCAGCGAAGUCUUUUUUUUCUCCUCCUCAGUUUUUUUUUUUUUUUUUGCAAGAUGCCCUCCGAAACAGUGUGAGUAAACGACCCCUGUGCACAUCUGUAUCUCCCAUGGAAAGCCCCCCCCAGUGUGGAUUGAAAGGCAAUCCUAAUUGAUUCCUGAAAACCCCCCCACCAACAGUUUGGAGUCAAUGUAGUGUCAAAGUGCUUACAGUGCAGGUAGUUUUAACAAAUCUACUGCAGUGAAGGCACUUUCAGCACUAUUCUGAUAAUGGUAACUAAAGGAUCAGGCCUAUUCACAGACACAGCUGGUCCAUGCCAGUCCAGCAAAGACUGAACCUGAAUACUUGUGAGUACACAUCUGGCAGGACCUCCUCCUCCAUCCAGCUGUGAGGUUUGGUUCCCUGCUGUACAGAGUGAAGCAACUGUGUUCUGGAGCGAGGCCCCUGCGUCAAACAUGCUUUAUUUUUGAGCGACCAUGCAUCCUGUGACUGUUAAUGGCAUUUAAUUCAACAGUACAUAAAGUCUGUGUUGCUACGGACGUUUUCUUUUGAAUUAAAUAAUGAAGUCUCAUGUCAUACAAACAACGUGACAUAAAUGUAACUUUCUAGGAUUUUUUUUUCCCAUCAUGAUGAUUUACUGUUAAACAGAAGUUGCUCUUGCGUGCUUUCUACUAGUGCUUAUGCUAAGGUGCAUCUAGUGCAGAUAGUGAAGUAGACUAGCACCUACUGCCCUAAGUGCUCCUUCUGGCAUAAGGAGCUGGGACUCUCAUCUGCUCUUUAUUUUUUUGUGUUUCGUGUAUACAGACUUUAAAUUGUAGCAGCUCUCUGUUAGUUUUGCAUAGUUGCGCUGCAAGAAAAAUUAAGUUGUGCAAAUCUAUGCAAAACUGAUGGUGUUCUGUGCUUCCAUCUGAAUCCGUUUGUUGGCUACUGUUCCUUCCUGCAUGGUGGUCAGUCACCAUAAGGUACAGACAGGUUUCAGUAGUAUUAAAGUGCUUAUAGUGCAGGUAGUUUUAUGAAAAUCUACUGCAGUGUGAGCACUUAAAGUACUUCUAGACACGCGUUUCUUCUCGGAAAGACUGCCGUGGUUGCGCGUGCAUAUGGGUCUCUGGUUAGUUUUGCUGGUUUGCUUUCAGCUUUUCGUUGUACUGCUGUGCAAAUCCAUGCAAAACUGAUCAUAGAACUGAAAUCAUUCCAUCAGAUGUGAUCCCUUUCUGUGCAGGUUGGGAGAGGUAGCAAUGCUCUCAAUCUGUGUGGUAUUGCACUUGUCCCGGCCUGUUGAGGAAAUGGGGAAUUGUUCUGCACCAAGUUUUCCACACAUUUUGCUUCAGAGUUAAGCCAAUAUCUGACCACUGAAUGCAAUGUAGAUUAAUUUUUGUUUCCUACAAAGUGUGUAAAUGCAGUAAUAUUUUGGUAAUAAAAUGUUUGAAUUACUCGCUGAGGUAUUUGUUGCCUUUUUGACCAUAAAGUGCAGUAAUCUACCCAAUGAAUGGCUGAGGAGAUUUAAAAGACUAGUUAUAUUUUUUGAAUAAUAUGUCACUUUGAUAUUUGAUUUAUCAUCUAAAUAUGAAAAUAAUACUUUUGUUUUAUGGUGCAUCAGUGAAGGGUUGCAGUCAUUAAGUUGUAUAAAAAAUGAAUUUCAUUUUAAACUUUACACACCUUUCAUUUUUCCCUAUAUUUUUUGAAAUGUCUGAACAACCUUCAAUUACUUGUAAUUUUAUCUUUUGAAAAAAUACCUUUUUGUAGUAUAAUUGUUUUAACAAAAUAUAUUUGAAAUGCCUUUUAAGCUUAUAUAGAGUCCACAGUUGGUU
Acanthopagrus latus (yellowfin seabream) is the source of this 3354-nucleotide long non-coding RNA. RefSeq lists it as uncharacterized. The record is from RefSeq and is a predicted model, not a curated record. NCBI's taxonomy places the organism in Eukaryota, Metazoa, Chordata, Actinopteri, Spariformes, Sparidae. The transcript has 2 exons.